RNAcentral lists this long non-coding RNA (925 nucleotides) under Homo sapiens (human). RNAcentral's name for it is "HSALNT0351946". Lineage: Eukaryota; Metazoa; Chordata; Mammalia; Primates; Hominidae. The record is from RNAcentral.
ACCUCAAGGUGGCUGUCAACAACUCGUCAAUUGUUGAGAUGACAGCAACCUGCCCUUCAAGUGGACCACAGCUUGAAAUAGGCACCAGAACAAGACAGCAGACCUUGUGCAAUGCACUCUCCCACGGGCCUCCCAUUCCAAUUUCCCCUUUUUAAGCCUUUCUCCCCAGCCUAAAGUUUUAAGAGGUUUCUGGAGGCGUAAGGAUUCUAUUUAUGUUUAAUGAACAAAAAAAUUAGUUUCAAUGAAAACUUUAUUUGAAAUGAUGAAUUCAAGCUGUUACCAGCCUCCCAAGUAAGAUGCCAGAGACUUCAAACACUGCUGUUGUUUCUCAAGGAAAAGAUCCAGUUAACAAGGAAUCAUUCUCUCUUCUUCAAUAGCUGCUUACGAAAUAAAAACAUCAGUAGGAGGGGAAGGAGGAAGGAAGGAGAAGAAAGAGGAAGAAUAGGAGGAGAAGAGGAAGAGAGGAAGAAGUCGUGAACAGCCCUCCUGCAUUUUGCAUCAGGUAGAAAAGUCAGUUGAAUGUUGGGAAGAACACAAAUAAAAAUGCAAGAGAACAGCUAUCUUCACAGAUCCCGGAACAAAGGACAAAGGAUAGAACUAAAAGCGCCCCCCACCCGCCGCCCGGCACCAAAGGAGUCAUAUCUGAUUACUUCCUUUGGAAAGGCUAAUCAGAAACUGAAAAGAAUGUAACUGUUUGUGUCUCACCUAUCUGUGACCUGGAAGCUCCCUCCCAGCUUUGAGUCUUCCUGCCUUUGCUUCCAGUUGUUCUGCCUUUCCAGACCCAACCAAUGUACUUCUUAUAUCUAUUGAUUGAUGUCUCAUGUCUCCCUAAAUGUAAAAAUCAAGCUGUGCCCCAACUGCCUUGGGCACAUGCUAUCAGGACCUCCUGAGGCUGUGUCAUGGAUGCGUCCUCAACCUUGGCAAA